This 542-nucleotide ribosomal RNA is filed under the name Pseudomonas koreensis. RNAcentral's name for it is "bacterial SSU rRNA". It matches the Rfam family "Bacterial small subunit ribosomal RNA", at positions 56 to 594 of the family's 1533-position model. Lineage: Bacteria; Pseudomonadati; Pseudomonadota; Gammaproteobacteria; Pseudomonadales; Pseudomonadaceae. The record is from RNAcentral.
UGCAGUCGAGCGGAUGAAAGGAGCUUGCUCCUUGAUUCAGCGGCGGACGGGUGAGUAAUGCCUAGGAAUCUGCCUGGUAGUGGGGGACAACGUUUCGAAAGGAACGCUAAUACCGCAUACGUCCUACGGGAGAAAGCAGGGGACCUUCGGGCCUUGCGCUAUCAGAUGAGCCUAGGUCGGAUUAGCUAGUUGGUGAGGUAAUGGCUCACCAAGGCGACGAUCCGUAACUGGUCUGAGAGGAUGAUCAGUCACACUGGAACUGAGACACGGUCCAGACUCCUACGGGAGGCAGCAGUGGGGAAUAUUGGACAAUGGGCGAAAGCCUGAUCCAGCCAUGCCGCGUGUGUGAAGAAGGUCUUCGGAUUGUAAAGCACUUUAAGUUGGGAGGAAGGGUUGUAGAUUAAUACUCUGCAAUUUUGACGUUACCGACAGAAUAAGCACCGGCUAACUCUGUGCCAGCAGCCGCGGUAAUACAGAGGGUGCAAGCGUUAAUCGGAAUUACUGGGCGUAAAGCGCGCGUAGGUGGUUCGUUAAGUUGGAUG